This 5255-nucleotide long non-coding RNA is filed under the name Citrus maxima (pomelo). Its description in RNAcentral is "long non-coding RNA (CMAX_LNC002482)". The record is from RNAcentral. Lineage: Eukaryota; Viridiplantae; Streptophyta; Magnoliopsida; Sapindales; Rutaceae.
GGAAUCCACGUUCGAGAGGUGGGAGGAUAACGGGCGUAGACUGCGGAAAACUGGGAUUCAGAGGAAGCCUAUAAAAAGGUAGCCAACGAAGGUAAAAAGGUUAGCAAUUUUGAGAUUAGAAGAGAGAUAAAAGAAAUUCUAAAGAAGAGAAAACUACCCAAAAGCCAUAAGAUCUAUGGCAAGCGUUCCCCGAACCUUCAUAUCUGACUUGAGCGUCGGAGGGUUUGCGCCGGGAAAACAACCAGUGUACUCUGACCUGUCUGUGUGCGCAGGAACCUCUGGAGAAGAAGCUUUACGAGGAGAGAUCCUGGUCGUGGUGAAGUUGAUCGAGCAGAGACCCUGGUCGUAGAACGAGGACAACCAGAAUCUCGCAUCAACAUUUUGGCGUAGUCUGUGGGGAGCUGAUCAAAAAGCUUCUGUUGAUAGCAAGAAGAGGAGUGAAGCAAGUGAAAAGCAAUGGAGACAGGAGGAAGCAGUGCACAAGGGGGUGAUAUGAGGCUUAACGAUUCCGUGACUUUGAGGGAGAUAGCCAGUGAAGCACGGGAAAAAGCCAUGUUCGACCGGAUGGAACGGAUGGAAAAGCAGAUGGAGACCCUGACAACCAUCCUGCAUGAGUUGCGGAGUGAACGAAGGGUAACCCAGGAGGAAAGGAUGAGAGUUGGUGGAGUGGCACCAGGUCCCAAUAGUACGAGGAGAAGUCAAACCACCGGGAGACUUGGUGGUGAGAGAGUUAACAUACCUCUGCGGGGAGAAUUCCGUAGAGAGGAAGAGCAAUCCCCGGCAAGACAGAUUUUUGACGAGGACGACGGGGUGGCAAAUGCAGAGGAAACAAAGUUGAGGCAACACUUGCUUGAUGUAGAGCAAGAGCGGGAUCAAGUUGCAGCACGGGACCCUGGUCGUGCAGUGCAGCUGGAGGAGGAAGUGCGCAGACUAGCGCAGAUAAUUGACGGCAUGCAAGGAAGGAGCAGAGCUCCUGGUUGGAGGAUAAUGCUGGACGGAGAAUCACCGCUCGCAGCAGAGAUCAUGAGGGCAGUUAUUCCGAGAGAUUUCCGCCUCCCAGACCUUAGAUAUUCGAGACGAACGGAUCCGCUGGUACACAUAGAGCGCUUCAACGACAUAACUGGGGUACAAGGAUUAUCUCAAUCCCAAAGGUGCAGGGUGUUCCCACUAUCCCUUGAGGGACGUGCACGAGAGUGGUACAGGAAACUUCCUCGGGGGAGCAUUAAAACCUUCGAGCAGAUGUGCCAGGAGUUUGCAGAGCAGUUUCGUGGGGCAAUGACACCAGAAGACGACAUGAUGGAGUUGAAAAGCAUGAAGCAAGGGAAGCAAGAAACCCUUCGGGAAUUCAUCAAGAGGUUUCAUCGUGCUGUCCUCGAUUUGAGAGCCUUCGACCAUCCUCAGGCACUAAAGGGAUUGAAAGAGGGAGUGAAGAUAGGAAGGCUGUGGUACAACUUGAGAAGCCCAGCUAUUCAGACGUAUGCAGCCGUAUACGAGCAGGCUAAAAGAGACAUAGAGAUUGAGGAAGAAAAUACAGCUCGGAUUAAGACAGACCAGCUGGAGGGGCUGGAAAAGAAAGAGAAAAGGGCAUUACCGGGAAAUGGGCCGAUCAGGAGGAGGGACCACCAGGCCUCGGGUAGUGGAGCAGGAGGUCGGGUAUCUGCUUACCAGCCUCAUCAGAGGCCACCACAGUAUCAGCGCAGCAGGGCGCAACCUCCUCGUUCCCCAGCUAGGGAGCCUUGGAGAAGGCAUGAUUCGGCAUAUGGUGACCUUCAUCAAAAUUCUCACAGUAGCAGAGGGAGCAGACCAGAAGUACUGCCACCGCCCCCAACUCAGAACGGAGCAAACAGAGAAAGAGCAGUGCACCUGAUCGACCAGAACCAGGACUAUGGGCAGUAUACUUCCUUGAAGAUGUCCCUGGAUGAGGUGUACGAGGCCAUAAAGGAUCGAGGGUUGCUGUACCUCCCUGUCCCAAUAACAAAGCUACCCGGCAGGAGGGAUAGGGGGCGCUAUUGUAAGUUUCAUGGCACUCAUGGCGAUACCACCGCAGAAUGCAGAAAUCUCAAGACCCAGGUUGAAGAUUUGGUGAGAAAUCGGUACCUGGACGAGUUUGUAGAUGGGACUUUCCCGAUGGUGGCCUCGACAUGUGAAGGGGAGCAGAGUGAUAGAAACCUGAGGCGCGAGCAUCCUGCAGUAAGGAUGAUAGCUGGGGGCCCAACAUUGGCCUGAGAUUCCAACAGAUCGAGGAAGAAUUAUGCUAGAUACGCCAUGACCAGCAAAUAGGUGUUCUUCAACACCCCAGCAGCCAAACGAGCAAGGGUCAGGCAAGUGCCAAUCAUGUGGACGGAUGAAGAUGAGGAAGGAAUUCUAUACCCCCACGAGGAUGCUUUAGUCAUCAAGGCUACUGUCGCUAGCAAGAAGUUUGACCGGAUACUGGUUGAUACAGGGAGUUCAGUUGAUGUGUUAUUUAAGUCAACCUUGGAGGAGAUGAGAAUAGCAGACCUGAAGUUGGAAUACACCAAUACCUCCUUGAAGGGGUUUGGAGGAGGAAAGCUGGUCCCUCUGGGCGUGGUCGAGCUGCCUAUCACGAUUGGGAGCUCCCCGACAGAAAGGACAAUGAUACUGGACUUUGUGGUGGUGGAUGAAGAAGGUCCUUACCAUAUGAUCCUAGGUCGGCCAUUUCUGAGGAUGAGCAAAGCGGUGCUGUCCAACCAUUAUCUGGCUCUCAAGUACCGGGUGAAUGGGGUAGUCGGAAUGGUACGAGGAGACCAGAGGAUUGCGAGAAGCUGCUACUCCUCGGCAGCAAGGGAAGCAAUGUAGAUAACAUCGCUUGAUACCCGAGUGGAAAACAAGAAUGGCAGACAAGAGCCUGUAGAGGAUCUGGAGACAGUAAGCCUGGGACCGAAUUGGGAAGGGCCAUAUAGAGUCAAGCAGAUAGUGGAACCCGGAGCUUACAAGCUGGUUCGCACGGACGGCCACGAGGUGAAACGCCCGUGGAACGCAGCACACCUCCGAAAACACUUCCAGUAAGACUUGUUCACAUUUUAAAGCAAUUUCUGCUCGUGCUCUUUAUCUUUUAUUUUUUAUGUUUUAUGUCAAAUCAAGUUCAUGUAAAAUCAAAUCCUGCAAUUAAUGGAACGUCGAGGAAUGUCAUUCACUUGAAACUGUGAUAAAUUCUCUAAGGCAUGCAAAGGCUCGACAAAGUCUCAAAGUCUGUUUAUGGCGAGACCAGAAGCCAAGCGUGCCAGGAUCUGCUCGGCCACGAGAAGGCUAGCAGAAUCCCAAGCUUUGAAGAAAUUACCUAAGGCAUGCAAAGGCUCGACAAAGUCUCAAAGCCUGUUUAUGGCGAGACUAGAAGCCAAGCGUGCCAGGAUCUGCUCGGCCACGAGAAGGCUAGCAGAAUCCCAAGCUUUGAAGAAAUUAUCCAAGGCAUGCAAAGGCUCGACCAAGUCUCAAAGCCUGUUUUAUGGCGAGACAGAAGCCAAGUGUGCCAAGAUCUGCUCGGCCACGAGAAGGCUAGCAGAAUCCCAAUCCUUGAAGAAUCAAAGGCAUGCAAAGGCUCAUCAAGUCUCAAAGCCUGUUUUAUGGCGAGAAAGAAGCCAAGCGUGCCAGGAUCUGCUCGACCAAGAGAAGGCGAGCAGAAUCCCAAUCCUUGAAGAAUCAAAGGCAUGCAAAGGCUCAUCAAGUCUCAAAGCCUGUUUUAUGGCGAGACAGAAGCCAAGCGUGCCAGGAUCUGCUCAACCACGAGAAGGCGAGCAGAAUCCCAAUCCUUGAAGAAUCAAAGGCAUGCAAAGGCUCAUCAAGUCUCAAAGCCUGUUUUAUGGCGAGGCAGAAGCCAAGCGUGCCAGGAUCUGCUCGACCACGAGAAGGCGAGCAGAAUCCCAAUCAUUGCAGAGAUUACCUAAGGCAUGCAAAGGCUCACCAAGUCUCAAAGCCUGUUUACGGCGAGACCAGAAGCCAAGCGUCCCAGGAUCUGCUCGACCAUGCGAAGGCGAGCUGACUCCCAAGCGUUGUAAAAAUUCUUAAGGCAUGCAAAGGCUCACCAAAGUUUCAAAGCCUGUUUAUGGCGAGACCAGAAGCCAAGCGUCCCAGGAUCUGCUCGACCAUGCGAAGGCGAGCUGACUCCCAAGCGUUGUAAAAAUUCUUAAGGCAUGCAAAGGCUCACCAAAGUCUCAAAGCCUGUUUAUGGCGAGAUCAGAAGCCAAGCGUGCCAGGAUCUGCUCGACCAUGCGAAGGCGAGCAGACUCCCAAGCGUUGUAAAAAUUCUUAAGGCAUGCAAAGGCUCACCAAAGUCUCAAAGCCUAUUUAUGGCGAGACCAGAAGCCAAGCGUGCCAGGAUCUGCUCGACCAUGCGAAGGCGAGCAGACUCCCAAGCGUUGUAAAAAUUCCUAAAGCAUGCAAAGGCUCACUAAGUCUCAAAGCCUGUUUAUGGCGAGACCAGAAGCCAAGCGUGCUAGGAUCUGCUGGACCAAGCAAAAGCGAGCAGAUUACUAAAGUUUCAAAAAGUUUCUAAGGCGUGCAGAGGCUCCAAAGUCUCAAAGCCUGUUUUAUGGCAAGACAGAAAGCUAAGCAUGCCAGGAUCUGCUCAACCAAGCGAAGACGAGCAGACCACUAAAGUUUCCAGUUUUGAUUCGUUUCACUCUCAACACUAGAAACUGGGGGACCGGUGUUUGAGGGAAAUACUCCGACGAGACCAGACGUGAUGAGCAGAUGUUUGGUGGCAGAAGUCUGCGAGCAGGUAUGUCCUGUAAGAACCAGGUAGCAGGGGAACAAGGGCAGGAACAUCCUGCUCAUCCACGAGCACGUCAUCUGCGAGGCCAAUUUCCUGUAAGAGGCAUAAAGUCAUUCCUGCUGUAUUCUCGCUGAGGGUUGAUUCAAGGAGACCCGGUCAACGACAGUUGGCGAGGCAUGCUCUCCAGCCCGAGAAUCUAGGCACGAAGGCCACGCAACCACCCACGACUACGGAAAUGGGGAAUCCACGUUCGAGUGGUGGGAGGAUAACGGGCGUAGACUGCGGAAAACUGGGAUUCAGAUGAAGCCUAUAAAAAGGUAGCCAACGAAGGUAAAAAGGUUAGCAAUUUUGAGAUCAGAAGAGAGAUAAAAGAAAUUCUAAAGAAGAGAAAACUACCCAAAAGCCAUAAGAUCUGUGGCAAGCGUUCCCCGAACCUUCAUAUCUGACUUGAGCGUCGGAGGGUUUGCGCCGGGAAAACAACCGGCGUACUCUAACCUGUCUGUGUGCGCAGGAACCUCUGGAGAAG